UACAGAGGGUGCGAGCGUUAAUCGGAAUUACUGGGCGUAAAGCGCGCGUAGGCGGCUUUGCAAGUCGGGUGUGAAAUCCCCAGGCUUAACCUGGGAACUGCAUUCGAGACUGCAUUGCUAGAGUAUGGGAGAGGGAAGUGGAAUUUCCAGUGUAGCGGUGAAAUGCGUAGAUAUCGGAAGGAACAUCAGUGGCGAAAGCGACUUCCUGGACCAACACUGACGCUCAUGUGCGAAAGCGUGGGGAGCAAACAGG
RNAcentral lists this ribosomal RNA (253 nucleotides) under uncultured bacterium. RNAcentral describes it as "partial 16S ribosomal RNA". It matches the Rfam family "Bacterial small subunit ribosomal RNA", at positions 524 to 776 of the family's 1533-position model. The record is from RNAcentral.